RNAcentral lists this long non-coding RNA (336 nucleotides) under Mytilus galloprovincialis (Mediterranean mussel). Lineage: Eukaryota; Metazoa; Mollusca; Bivalvia; Mytilida; Mytilidae. The record is from RNAcentral.
GCUGGCGGCCAUCUUGGAUGAUGGAUGGGCUACAAAGAAACAACACAUGGUCAGCACGGCAUAAGGAACAUUCAUGCAAUGUUUGGUUUCAUUCCAUUCAGUUGUUCUCUAAAAGAAGUCAUUUGCAUGCAUUUCCCAUAGGGUCCUAUGUUAAACUAAGUCCCCCGCUGGCGUCCAUCUUGGAUAAUGGAUCGGCUACAAAGUAACAACACUUGGUCAGCACCACAUUAGGAACAUUCAUGCCAUGUUUGAUUUCAUUCCAUUCAGUGGUUCUCUAAAAUAAGUCAUUUGUAUGCAUUUCCCAUAGGGUCCUAUGUUAAACUAAGUUCCCGGCUG